This is a non-coding RNA of Morchella snyderi, 89 nucleotides long. The record is from the annotation of a GenBank genome assembly. Lineage: Eukaryota; Fungi; Ascomycota; Pezizomycetes; Pezizales; Morchellaceae.
GGCAGUGUGGUGGAGAGGUUAACACGUCAGCCUGCUAUACAGUUGAGCUGAUGCCUUCGGGUUCGCGAGUUCGAAUCUCGUCGCUGUCG